UAUUGGUCAAUGGACGAGAGUCUGAACCAGCCAAGUAGCGUGAAGGAUGACUGCCCUCUGGUUUGUAAACUUCUUUUAUAUGGGAAUAAAACAGGGUAUGCAUACCCUCUUGUAUGUACCAUAUGAAUAAGGAUCGGCCAACUCCGUGCCCGCAGCCGCGGUAAUACGGAGGAUCCGAGCGUUAUCCGGAUUUAUUGGGUUUCAAGGGAGCGUAGGCGGGUUGUUAAGUCAGUUGUGAAAGUUUGCGGCUCAACCGUAAAAUUGCAGUUGAUACUGGCAGCCUUGAGUACAGUAGAGGUAGGCGGAAUUCGUGGUGUAGCGGUGAAAUGCUUAGAUAUCACGAAGAACUCCGAUUGCGAAGGCAGCUCACUGGACUGGUCACUGACACUGAGGCUCGAAAGUGUGGGUAUCAAAC
RNAcentral lists this ribosomal RNA (415 nucleotides) under uncultured bacterium. RNAcentral describes it as "bacterial SSU rRNA". It matches the Rfam family "Bacterial small subunit ribosomal RNA", at positions 362 to 773 of the family's 1533-position model. The record is from RNAcentral.